This 466-nucleotide ribosomal RNA is filed under the name uncultured bacterium. RNAcentral's name for it is "bacterial SSU rRNA". It matches the Rfam family "Bacterial small subunit ribosomal RNA", at positions 338 to 793 of the family's 1533-position model. The record is from RNAcentral.
CCUACGGGAGGCAGCAGUGAGGAAUUUUGCGCAAUGGGGGAAACCCUGACGCAGCAACGCCGCGUGAGUGAUGAAGGCCUUCGGGUCGUAAAGCUCUGUCAGAGGGGAAGAAAUGCAGGGGUGCUAAUAUCAUCUUUGCUUGACGGUACCCUCAAAGGAAGCACCGGCUAACUCCGUGCCAGCAUACCUACGGUAAUACCGAGGGUGCGAGCGUUGUUCGGAAUUAUUGGGCGUAAAGCGCGUGUAUGCGGUUUGGUAAGUCUGAUGUAAAAGCCCCGGGCUCAACCUGGGAAGUGCAUUGGAAACUGUCAUACUUGAAUACGGGAGAGGGUACUGAAAUUCCGAGUGUAGGAGUGAAAUCCGUAGAUAUUAAGAGGAACACCGGUGGCGAAGGCGGCUACCUGGACCGAUAUUGACGCUGAGACGCGAAAACGUGGGGAGCAAACAGGAUUAGAUACCCUGGUAG